GAUGAACGCUGGCGGCGUGCCUAAUACAUGCAAGUCGAGCGAACAGACGAGGAGCUUGCUCCUCUGACGUUAGCGGCGGACGGGUGAGUAACACGUGGAUAACCUACCUAUAAGACUGGGAUAACUUCGGGAAACCGGAGCUAAUACCGGAUAAUAUAUUGAACCGCAUGGUUCAAUAGUGAAAGGCGGUUUUGCUGUCACUUAUAGAUUGAUCCGCGCCGCAUUAGCUAGUUGGUAAGGUAACGGCUUACCAAGGCAACGAUGCGUAGCCGACCUGAGAGGGUGAUCGGCCACACUGGAACUGAGACACGGUCCAGACUCCUACGGGAGGCAGCAGUAGGGAAUCUUCCGCAAUGGGCGAAAGCCUGACGGAGCAACGCCGCGUGAGUGAUGAAGGUCUUCGGAUCGUAAAACUCUGUUAUUAGGGAAGAACAAAUGUGUAAGUAACUAUGCACGUCUUGACGGUACCUAAUCAGAAAGCCACGGCUAACUACGUG
This 497-nucleotide ribosomal RNA is filed under the name uncultured bacterium. RNAcentral's name for it is "partial 16S ribosomal RNA". It matches the Rfam family "Bacterial small subunit ribosomal RNA", at positions 28 to 507 of the family's 1533-position model. The record is from RNAcentral.